This 492-nucleotide ribosomal RNA is filed under the name uncultured bacterium. RNAcentral's name for it is "partial 16S ribosomal RNA". It matches the Rfam family "Bacterial small subunit ribosomal RNA", at positions 29 to 507 of the family's 1533-position model. The record is from RNAcentral.
AGUGAACGCUGGCGGUAGGCCUAACACAUGCAAGUCGAACGGCAGCACAGUAAGAGCUUGCUCUUCCGGGUGGCCAGUGGCGGACGGGUGAGGAGUACAUCGGAAUCUACUUUUUCGUGGGGGAUAACGUAGGGAAACCUACGCUAAUACAGCAUACGACCCACGGGUGAAAGCGGGGGAUAUUCGGAGCUUGCGCGAAUGAAUGCGCGGCUGUCGGAUUAGCUAGUUGGCGGGGUAAAGGCCAACCAAGGCGACGAUCCGUAGCUGGUCUGAGAGGAUGAUCAGCCACAUGAGAACGGAGACACGGUCCAGACUCCUACGGGAGGCAGCAGUGUGGAAUAGUGGACAAUGGGCGCAAGCCUGAUCCAGCCAUACCGCGUGGGUGAAGAAGGCCUUCGGGUUGUAAAGCCCUUUUGUUGGGAAAGAAAAGCAGCAGGUUAAUACCCCGCUGUUCUGACGGUACCCAAUGAAGAAGCACCGGCUAACUUCGUG